Magallana angulata is the source of this 1096-nucleotide long non-coding RNA. RefSeq lists it as uncharacterized. The record is from RefSeq and is a predicted model, not a curated record. NCBI's taxonomy places the organism in Eukaryota, Metazoa, Mollusca, Bivalvia, Ostreida, Ostreidae. The transcript is spliced from 5 exons.
UUUAAAACAUUUUAAAGUCAACUUCAAAUGUACUGUAAAAUUUAAAAAUUCUAAAAAGGUGAAAGUAUUUUGAUUAUCAUGUACUUUUAUCAACAUUAAUAUAUACAAGAGUUCCAUAUCACAUCAAUCGUAGGAGCAUGGUAACGAUUUGAGCUAAAUUUAAUUUUCUCGAUCCUUUUUCGUUGUAACAAUGCUUAAUAAAGGUUUUCUAAAUUAUAAUCGAAGUUUGAAUGUCAGCUGUCGAGUUGUAAGCCAGUGUGCGCGGGAAAAAGAACGUUGUCUACGUCCCAUAAUGCUCUCUAAUGGAUUCACCCGUGGUGCUAUGCCAAAAUGGCCGACUUUUAACUUAACUUAACUUAACUUUUAACUUAAUUUACGGUGUCUUAAAGAUUGAAGACACGUUUUGAGUACCGCAUAUGCUUUGGCGAGACUCAAAAGAUUUGUUACACACAAUCCCAAUGUUUUCCACAUGUGCUCUUUUAGAUAUCUGUUUCUCUGAGGAUUGACACAGAAUGACCGAGGUCUACUGUAGCACAGGUGCCCUGACGUUCAAAGAUGGGAACUUUAUCCUGGACGGGAAACCCCUGCGGAUCUUUAGCGGGACCAUGCACUACUUCCGGGUAGUUCCGGCCUACUGGAGGGACCGCUUCCGGAAGAUGAGGGCGUGUGGACUUAACACCGUGGAAACGAUGGGAGCAGGUUAGAGAUCUUGGUGGAGAACCACGGGCGAGUGAAUUAUAUUGAGUAUGGUUCCAAUAGAUUCAACGAAGAGAGGAAAGGUAUUUGUGGAUCUGUAAAAUUGGAUGAAAAGGAAAUCAAGCAAUGGCGAAUUUUUCCGUUAGAUUUCAAAUCCAAAUUCCUUGACAGCCUCCGUCGUUGUUCCAAUAUGAAGUCUCCCGUGGAGGGUGUGAGGGGACCACUAGUCGCCAAGACAACGUUACAUAUAGAUUCGUCUCCAUGCGAUACUUUUCUUGAUAUGAAGGGUUGGAAUAAAGGCAUUGUAAUAGUGAACAACUUUAACUUGGGGAGAUACUGGAAAGUAGGGCCGACAAGGACCCUGUACAUUCCAGCUCCGCUGCUGAAACAGGGUCAAAAU